RNAcentral lists this ribosomal RNA (768 nucleotides) under uncultured bacterium. RNAcentral describes it as "bacterial SSU rRNA". It matches the Rfam family "Bacterial small subunit ribosomal RNA", at positions 724 to 1504 of the family's 1533-position model. The record is from RNAcentral.
GCUCGCUAAGCUAUAACUGACGCUCAUGCACGAAAGCGUGGGGAUCAAACAGGAUUAGAUACCCUGGUAGUCCACGCCGUAAACGAUGAUUACUCGAUGUUGGCGAUACACAGUCAGCGUCUAAGGGAAACCAAUAAGUAAUCCACCUGGGGAGUACGAUCGCAAGAUUGAAACUCAAAGGAAUUGACGGGGGCCCGCACAAGCGGAGGAGCAUGUGGUUUAAUUCGAUGAUACGCGAGGAACCUUACCUGGGCUCGAACGUAAGAUGACUAUAGGUGAAAGCUUAUAUCUCUUCGGAGCAUUUUACGAGGUGCUGCAUGGUUGUCGUCAGCUCGUGCCGUGAGGUGUCGGGUUAAGUCCCAUAACGAGCGCAACCCCUAUCUUUAGUUGCCAUCAGGUCAUGCUGGGGACUCUAAAGAAACUGCCUACGCAAGUAGUGAGGAAGGCGGGGAUGACGUCAAAUCAGCACGGCCCUUACGUCCAGGGCUACACACGUGCUACAAUGGCCGAUACAGAGGGCAGCUACCAGGCGACUGGAUGCAAAUCUCCAAAGUCGGUCUCAGUUCGGAUCGGAGUCUGCAACCCGACUCCGUGAAGUUGGAUUCGCUAGUAAUCGCAUAUCAGCCAUGAUGCGGUGAAUACGUUCCCGGGCCUUGUACACACCGCCCGUCAAGCCAUGGAAGUUGGGGGGACCUAAAGUCGAUAACCGCAAGGAGUCGCCUAGGGUAAAACCAAUAACUGGGGCUAAGUCGUAACAAGGUAGCCGUA